This is a long non-coding RNA of Homo sapiens (human), 1946 nucleotides long. Lineage: Eukaryota; Metazoa; Chordata; Mammalia; Primates; Hominidae. The record is from Ensembl.
GGCUUGGUGUCCUCCCUAUGGAACAAGCUCUGAAGUCUUGAUCCAAAACAGACAAGGCUUUAAUAUGAAAGCAUUUUUCUUUGAAGAAGUUCACCCUGAAGCCUUGGCCCAAUGAUCUCAGAAGAUGAGAGAGAAUGGCAAACCAAAAACUCUGAGUGAGUUUGAAAGUGGAUCUUCUGAAGCCUUCCAACAGUCAUGUGUGGAAUCUGGAAGUGCAUUUUUGAGGCUUUCCCAUAGCCAUCUGAGUGAGCUGUUCUGUUUCUCUGAAGAAGCCUAAUACGUCUUAUAAGAAGUGAAAAUUUGGACACACAAAGAAGCACCAGGAUUGCAUACUUACAGAGUAAAGACCAUGUGAGGACACAGAGAGGUGGUGGCUGUCUGCAAGCAGAGGAGAGAGGCUUCAGAGGAAAUCAACCCUGCUGGCACCUUGACCUUGGAUUUCUAGCAUUCAGGACUAUGAGAAAUGAAUUUCUGUUUUUUUAAGCCACCUAGUCUGUGGUACUUUUUGAUACAGUUCUAGCAAACUCAUACAAGUUUUGCUUAUUAAUAAAUUAUAUACUCAGAAGAAUAACUACAAAGAAUACAAAAACCUGAAGAAGGCCAAUGGCACGGUACUCCAAAAGCAAAAGCUAAAGUUCCAUGUUCUCCGAUUCAGGGAUAUAUAGGAGGACCAGCAGCUGGUAUCCAGGAAGCUGUCUGAUGACACAGAGGACUUUUCUAAUCUGCUGUUGAUUUCCUCCUUUAGUGGUGGCAAACAGAGAAAGAGGGGGCAACAUUUUUAUGUUAAAAUUCUAACCCACAAUGUGAUGGUAUUAGGAGAUAAGGCCUUUGGGAGACAAACGGGUGAAGAGGAUGAAGCCCUUAUUAAUAAGAUUAGUGCCUUUAUGAUAAGGGGCCCCAGAGAGAGCUUGCUUCCCCUCUCUGCUCUUACCACUAUGUGCAAAUAUAAUAAGAAGACAGGCUUCUGUAAACCAGAAAGAGUACCUUCAUUGGACACCAAAUCUUCCAGCACCUCGAUCCUGGACUUCUCAGACUCUAGAAUAAAGUGUGAAAUAAAUGUUUGUUGUUUGACCCAAUCUAUUGUAUAUUUCUUAGAGCAGCCCAAGCUGACUAAGACAACAACUGCAUUAGUCUGCUAGGGCUGUCGUAUAUAAUACCAUGGACUCUGUGGUUUAAACAACAGAAAUAUAACUUCUUACAGCUCUGGAGGAUAGGAAAUCCAAGAUCAAGGUGCCAGCAUGGUAGGUUUUAUUCUGAAGCCUCUUCUUUGGCUUGUAGGUCACUGCCAUUUCUUCAUGUGCUCCCAUGGCUUUUUUGUAUGUAUGUGUAUACUUCUCUCUCUGAUUCUUCUUAUUAGGCCACCAAUUCUAUUGGAUUAGGGUCCCAUGUUUAUGACCUCAUUUAACCUUAAUUACCUUCUUAGAAGUGCUAUAUUCAAACAAGUUGCAUUGGGUUUAAGGCUUCAGCAUCUGAAUUUUGGAGAAAAAAAAGUCAGUGCAUAGCACCAACUGAAAAACAUCUGAGACAUUUGUCAGUUAAUGCCUGCCCACCAUUUAUCAAUUGUUAUUGGAAGAUGGGCAUUUACUCCCCACACUUCCAAGUUUAGUUUCCCUGUGAGCAAGUUCCCGCAGCUAAAGAGAAGGCACCGAGAAAAAAAAUGGUACCCCUUAUCAAGAUAAUAUGGGGCACAAUAUCAGAGUAGGUUUGAGCUUUCAGGAGGCUGUAAACCACAUCACAAUUGAAAUCAGAGAUGAGCUGAUGGGGUAUGCCAGGUGGCACAAAAAAUAUUAUGAUCAUUAUAUUAUGGACCUCAUAUGUUUGGAAAGGUGGCAGCUGUUUUUCAGUUCAUGUGGGCCCAAUAGAAGUAGGCUUUUCAUAAACGGAACAUGGAUUUAUCUGGAAUCUUUGAGCGCAGGCCAUGAUAGAUUUGUUGGAGACUUCAAAAC